This 876-nucleotide small RNA is filed under the name Histoplasma capsulatum. RNAcentral describes it as "hypothetical RNA". RNAcentral also lists the same sequence under 1 other name. Lineage: Eukaryota; Fungi; Ascomycota; Eurotiomycetes; Onygenales; Ajellomycetaceae. The record is from RNAcentral.
CCCUGCUCUUGUAUUGAUUUCUAUUCUUAAUUAUCCUUGUCCUUACCCAUCUACUUUGAAACCCUUGCAUCUUCAUACAAGUGAGAAAGACUGAUAAUGACCUCUGCUGCUGAUACUGCUGUUGAAGCAGCUGCUGCACAGAAGCAGCUACAGCAUGAUCUUAUUAUAGAGAUGACAGCACAGAGAGAGAAUGCACUGAGAAUCAGCAGACAAAGCAGAUCAAAGAAUACACAGAUAGCAUACACAGGGAAGCAGAAUGAAUGGAUGAAAUGAUGUAAUGAAAAGAAGUUUUCAGAUGAUCAGAUUGUCUCUGAGCAGAAGACAAUCUGGUUCUUUAGUGAGAGAGUUCUCAAUCAUCCACUCAGAGGGGGCCAUCUCAAAAGAAAGUGUACAAAUGCUGAGGGAGAAGAGAUUGUGCAGACAAUAGAAGAGGAUCUGAUCAAGCAGUAUUGAGCAGCUCUUGUUGAUCUGUAUCAUACACAGCAGAGCAGACAGAAGAACUCCCAUCCUCACUCAAUUGACCAGGCCUUGAAUGGCAUGUUAAAGACUCACAGAUCUAUGAAGCAUGUACAGAGGCAUACAGAGUUUGUGGACAGAGGUGCAGACACUCUGAUGAACAGCUAUACUGAGCUGAAUAUGGUGAACUUUGUACAUCAGUGCUGAGAGAGGUGACAGAGGGAUGGAAGGCAUACAGUUGAGCCUCUUCUUCAUACAGCAGCUGACUUUCUCAUGAGUCACCAUAUACUGCUGAGAGAGCAGUUCAGACAAGAGAUGCAGUUGGCUGAUCUGUUUACAAUUGAGCUGUUAAAUGAGGGAUCAACACCCUGCUGACCUCUUAUUCAGAUCAUGAGUAAUGACAAGACAAAUCAGAACAAC